Molecule: unclassified non-coding RNA, 387 nt
Filed under: soil metagenome
Description: partial contains 5.8S ribosomal RNA, internal transcribed spacer 2, and large subunit ribosomal RNA
Rfam family: 5.8S ribosomal RNA (bases 1-120)
Source: RNAcentral
GAUUAAGAACGUAGCGAAAUGCGAUAAGUAAUGUGAAUUGCAGAAUUCAGUGAAUCAUCGAAUCUUUGAACGCACAUUGCGCCCAUUAGUAUUCUAGUGGGCAUGCCUGUUCGAGCGUCAUUAAUUCCACUUAAGCCCUGCUUAGUGUUGGGAAUCUACUCUAGUGGUGCUACCCUGGAGCUACCCCUGAAAGGGGGCUGGCCCGGUAGCUACCCUGUAGUUCCUCAAAGAUAGUGCGCGGAGUUGCGUGGUCCUCUGAGCUUAGUAACUAUACACCUAGCUUUUGAGUGUCCCGCGGCGCCUGCCGUUUAAACCCCAUCUUUUAAUGGUUGACCUCGGAUCAGGUAGGAAUACCCGCUGAACUUAAGCAUAUCAAUAAGCGGAGGA